This 180-nucleotide ribosomal RNA is filed under the name uncultured bacterium. RNAcentral's name for it is "partial 16S ribosomal RNA". It matches the Rfam family "Bacterial small subunit ribosomal RNA", at positions 1314 to 1500 of the family's 1533-position model. The record is from RNAcentral.
GACUCCAUGAAGCUGGAUUCGCUAGUAAUCGCGCAUCAGCCACGGCGCGGUGAAUACGUUCCCGGGCCCUUGUACACACCGCCCGUCAAGCCAUGGAAGCCGGGAGUGCCUGAAGUGCGUGAGCGCAAGCAGCGCCCUAAGGUAAAACCGGUGACUGGGGCUAAGUCGUAACAAGGUAUC